CAAGUAAAACAAGUAAUCGCAGCUGCAGAUGCCGAAAGGCGGCAGAUGAGGAAAGUCCGGGCUUCACAGGGCAGGGUGCCGGAUAACGUCCGGUGGAGGCGACUCCAAGGCCAGUGCAACAGAAAUAUACCGCUUGUGCCGUCAGGUACAGGUAAGGGUGGAAGGGCAGUGUAAGAGACUACCGCCCUGCCGGUAACGGCAGGGGCACAUGUAAACCCCACUCGAAGCAAGACCGCAUAGAGACCAUGCGGCGGCCCGCCGCGUCUCAGGUAGGUCGCUGAAGCCUGCCGGCAACGGCAGGUUUAGAUAGAUGAUUACUCAAUGACAUAACCCGGCUUAUCGUUUUGCUUGUCGA
This 355-nucleotide RNase P RNA is filed under the name Dorea sp. RNAcentral describes it as "RNase P RNA component class A". It matches the Rfam family "Bacterial RNase P class A". From Rfam's summary of the family: Ribonuclease P (RNase P) is a ubiquitous endoribonuclease, found in archaea, bacteria and eukarya as well as chloroplasts and mitochondria. Its best characterised activity is the generation of mature 5'-ends of tRNAs by cleaving the 5'-leader elements of precursor-tRNAs. Lineage: Bacteria; Bacillati; Bacillota; Clostridia; Lachnospirales; Lachnospiraceae. The record is from RNAcentral.